AUUGAACGCUGGCGGCAGGCCUAACACAUGCAAGUCGAAUGGUAACAGGAAACAGCUUGCUGUUUCGCUGACGAGUGGCGGACGGGUGAGUAAUGUCUGGGAAACUGCCUGAUGGAGGGGGAUAACUACUGGAAACGGUAGCUAAUACCGCAUAACGUCGCAAGACCAAAGAGGGGGACCUUCGGGCCUCUUGCCAUCAGAUGUGCCCAGAUGGGAUUAGCUAGUAGGUGGGGUAACGGCUCACCUAGGCGACGAUCCCUAGCUGGUCUGAGAGGAUGACCAGCCACACUGGAACUGAGACACGGUCCAUACUCCUACAGGUGGCAGCAGUGGGGAAUAUUGCACAAUGGGCGCAAGCCUGAUGCAGCCAUGCCGCGUGUAUGAAGAAGGCCUUCGGGUUGUAAAGUACUUUCAGCGGGGAGGAAGGGAGUAAAGUUAAUACCUUUACUCAUUGACGUUACCCGCAGAAGAAGCACCGGCUAACUCCGUG
Molecule: ribosomal RNA, 490 nt
Filed under: uncultured bacterium
Lineage: Bacteria
Description: partial 16S ribosomal RNA
Rfam family: Bacterial small subunit ribosomal RNA
Source: RNAcentral